Bubalus bubalis (water buffalo) is the source of this 297-nucleotide long non-coding RNA. RefSeq lists it as uncharacterized. The record is from RefSeq and is a predicted model, not a curated record. The transcript has 2 exons. NCBI's taxonomy places the organism in Eukaryota, Metazoa, Chordata, Mammalia, Artiodactyla, Bovidae.
UAUGGCUUCGCAAAGAGUCUGACAUGGCUGAGCGACUAACACACACACUGGAGAGCUUGUCUCCCUGACCAGAUAUCGAACUUGCACCCGCUGCAUUGGCAGUGUGGAGUGUUAACCACUGGACUGCCAGAGAAAUCCCAAAGGAUCUUUAAUACACUCUUCUGUCUCUAUAACAUGCACACGAAUGCUAAACUUGCAGGGAAAACUUACCUCUGAGUGCUCAACAUAGAAACAAAAUUGCAGCCCUAUAUUAUAUUUUACUGCAUAAUAAAGUAUGUAAAAAAUUGGUGGCUUACA